Long non-coding RNA from Suricata suricatta (meerkat), 1427 nucleotides. RefSeq lists it as uncharacterized. The transcript has 3 exons. The record is from RefSeq and is a predicted model, not a curated record. Lineage: Eukaryota; Metazoa; Chordata; Mammalia; Carnivora; Herpestidae.
GCAAGGCCAAGAGCCCACUCCCAGGGCUGUGCCUCCUUCAGUUGCCAGGGGGAAGGUUCUAGAACUUGGCGUGGUGUGGGCGCUAAGGCAGGUGCCUCCGUCUCCUUGUUGCGACCGAAGCGUCACGCGGCCCGGCCUGAGCGUGUUUCUGGCCCCUGCUUCUCGGACGGGACACCUCGAUGCUCGUCAGAAGGGCUCGCCAGUGUCUUGCCGCGAGUCAGCGCUGCUCUCGCAGGGACCCGAGGCAGCCGCACGCAGACCCCUGGACGGCGGCCACAUCUGGAGGGUCGGGGCUCCCACGGCCCCAGCACGUCGGCCUUGAUGCUCUGCCUUUUGUCUCCGAGGUUUUUACCGGUUUCGCUUGAUCAACAGCGUUCAUUCGUAGUGAACAAACGGAGUUCAGUUUUUAUGGCAUGAAGAUGAUUGUUCUCUGACCGACUAGCCAUUACACGGUGACACGGGGUGGCCCCAGAUGACACAGGACCAUGAAUCUUCGAGUUCCUGAGAGCCCCAGACGCUGGAUCGUUCUCCACACGUACGGAGCCUGCGCGCUCUCUGCUUUCUUGGUCGGGGUACUAGGAGGGCUCUGGCUUCCUCCAAGGACACCCGGUGGCCAGCUACUUUCUCUUUUCGGUCUCCCAGUGAACUUGCAGAUUUUCAGGUCUUGCUUGCGUUCCAUCCAUUGAAGCACAGCUCAGCACACCCUGAAUCUCACACCUCCUCCGUCCGGAGGGAUGACGGACUCGGGGAUUGCGAGGAUGUUCCAGGACUCGGAGCCGCGCUGGGCCGCUGACCUGGGCCUAGCGCGCACGCAUGGGAGACGGAGCUCAGCAGAGAGCUCCAGCCCGUGUGCGCCCCAUCGGUUAGGAGGCACUGAGGGUCCCCGUGUGGCACAGAAGGGCAGGACGCGCCCCGAGACGGAGGUCGGCUUACUCGUGGGCACCAGAGACGUGAAAAUCCUUUGGGAGAAACUGAGGGGCUGUAUAGACUCACAACUACUCCCACCUCCUCACCUCCAGGGCGGUGGAGGAGAGGCCACCGGCAGUGGAUCAGCCCACCCGUCCACCAGUGCACCCACCUACCCAUGCCCCCACCCACCCACUGAUCCACCCACCACGCACUCAUCCAUCGUCCGGCUGUCUGAUGCUCACGUGUCCAACGUGUGUCACGCACAUUGGAGACACAGCUGUAUGAGUUGCACCCCCACCCUGCAGAGGGGACAGGAAGUGAUGUCCCGUGUCCCCGGGCAGGAUGAGUCGCCCCCUGCCCUACCCGUGAGCCCCAGUCGGUGGGCUCAGACAGCUAGAGCAGGAGCUAGAGCAGGAGGAAUUCAGAAGGGCGCAUGCUGGAGGGGGUUGAGGAGCGUCUGGAGGGCGGAGGCAGCCAGGCACACGUCCAGUGGGGAGGGGCCUAAGCCCGGGCAUGGA